This 253-nucleotide ribosomal RNA is filed under the name uncultured bacterium. Its description in RNAcentral is "partial 16S ribosomal RNA". It matches the Rfam family "Bacterial small subunit ribosomal RNA", at positions 524 to 776 of the family's 1533-position model. The record is from RNAcentral.
UACAGAGGGUGCGAGCGUUAAUCGGAAUUACUGGGCGUAAAGCGUGCGUAGACGGCUAUCUAAGUCGGGUGUGAAAGCCCCGGGCUCAACCUGGGAAUUGCAUUCGAGACUGAAUAGCUAGGGUACGGUAGAGGGAAGCGGAAUUUCCGGUGUAGCGGUGAAAUGCGUAGAUAUCUGGAGGAACACCGGUGGCGAAGGCGGCGUUCUGGACUGCAACUGACACUGAUAAACGAAAGCCAGGGUAGCAAACGGG